This 497-nucleotide ribosomal RNA is filed under the name uncultured bacterium. RNAcentral describes it as "partial 16S ribosomal RNA". It matches the Rfam family "Bacterial small subunit ribosomal RNA", at positions 28 to 507 of the family's 1533-position model. The record is from RNAcentral.
GAUGAACGCUGGCGGCGUGCCUAAUACAUGCAAGUCGAGCGAACGGACGAGAAGCUUGCUUCUCUGAUGUUAGCGGCGGACGGGUGAGUAACACGUGGAUAACCUACCUAUAAGACUGGGAUAACUUCGGGAAACCGGAGCUAAUACCGGAUAAUAUUUUGAACCGCAUGGUUCAAAAGUGAAAGACGGUCUUGCUGUCACUUAUAGAUGGAUCCGCGCUGCAUUAGCUAGUUGGUAAGGUAACGGCUUACCAAGGCAACGAUGCAUAGCCGACCUGAGAGGGUGAUCGGCCACACUGGAACUGAGACACGGACCAGACUCCUACGGGAGGCAGCAGUAGGGAAUCUUCCGCAAUGGGCGAAAGCCUGACGGAGCAACGCCGAGUGAGUGAUAAAGGUCUUCGGAUCGUAAAACUCUGUUAUUAGGGAAGAACAGAUGUGUAAGUAACUGUGCACAUCUUGACGGUACCUAAUCAGAAAGCCACGGCUAACUACGUG